This 481-nucleotide ribosomal RNA is filed under the name uncultured bacterium. RNAcentral describes it as "bacterial SSU rRNA". It matches the Rfam family "Bacterial small subunit ribosomal RNA", at positions 903 to 1397 of the family's 1533-position model. The record is from RNAcentral.
AAAUGAAUAGACGGGGACCCGCACAAGCGGUGGAGCGUGUUGUUUAAUUCGAUGGUAAACGAAGAACCUUACCCAGGUUUGACAUCCUUAGAAUUUUGUCGAAAGACGAGAGUGCUUUAUUGAACUAAGUGACAGGUGUUGCAUGGCCGUCGUCAGCUCGUGUCGUGAGAUGUUUGGUUAAGUCCAUCAACGAGCGCAACCCUUAUUGUCUGUUGUAUUUUUCAGGCAAGACUGCCCCGGUAACGGGGAGGAAGGGGGGGAUGAUGUCAGGUCAGUAUUACCCUUACAUCUGGGGCUACAAACACGCUACAAUGGCCGGUACAAAGGGCAGCCAAAGCGCAAGCUGGAGCAAAUCCCAUCAAAGCCGGUCCCAGUUCGGAUAGCAGGCUGAAACUCGCCUGCUUGAAGUCGGAAUCGCUAGUAACGGUAGGUCAGCUAUACUACCGUGAAUACGUUCCCGGGUCUUGUACACACCGCCCGU